Molecule: ribosomal RNA, 497 nt
Filed under: uncultured bacterium
Lineage: Bacteria
Description: partial 16S ribosomal RNA
Rfam family: Bacterial small subunit ribosomal RNA
Source: RNAcentral
GAUGAACGCUGGCGGCGUGCCUAAUACAUGCAAGUCGAGCGAACAGACGAGGAGCUUGCUCCUCUGACGUUAACGGCGGACGGGUGAGUAACACGUGGAUAACCUACCUAUAAGACUGGGAUAACUUCGGGAAACCGGAGCUAAUACCGGAUAAUAUAUUGAACCGCAUGGUUCAAUAGUGAAAGACGGUUUUGCUGUCACUUAUAGAUGGAUCCGCGCCGCAUUAGCUAGUUGGUAAGGUAACGGCUUACCAAGGCAACGAUGCGUAGCCGACCUGAGAGGGUGAUCGGCCACACUGGAACUGAGACACGGUCCAGACUCCUACGGGAGGCAGCAGUAGGGAAUCUUCCGCAAUGGGCGAAAGCUUGACGGAGCAACGCCGCGUGAGUGAUGAAGGUCUUCGGAUCGUAAAACUCUGUUAUUAGGGAAGAACAAAUGUGUAAGUAACUAUGCACGUCUUGACGGUACCUAAACAGAAAGCCACGGCUAACUACGUG